UUCUACCAUCCAUGAAUGCAAGCUUUGCUCGCUUUUGAAUUUUAUCAACCACAAAAUUUGCCCAAUGUCGGUCUCCUACCUGCAGUAAAUAAGGACCCCUUCCGUGAAGUCUGUUCCAACCCUGAGCCUCUCCACCUUCGAGAUUGGCCGCAGAUGCCCCGACGGGAUGGCCUGGGGAGCCGAAAGCCGUCCCCAGCCCGGGACAGCUACUGCCCACGCCGCGCAGGCCAGCCUCGCGCAGUAGCGAAUCUCCUUCACGCGACUCCCUCGCCGGCCUGUGAACCCGCAGGGGAGGCGGAGGUCGGUUCAAACCCUGCGAGAGCCCCUGCCCAGCGCCGAGUCCUGCACACGGUGGAAAGUCCUUACGCAUUAGCGGGCAGGAUUAAACGACUUCACACCACGAGGUGCAAGACUGGGCUUCGGGGCCUUCCUCGGUGUUGCUAUUUUAAAAGAAGCUGCUCAAUAACCCAGAAGAAGAUGACGGGGGACGGUGGUGUAGACCCGGCUGGAGAAGAGUCCAGGGCCUGGGAGGCGCCCCCUCCGACUGAGGGGCUGGGGACCCUGAAGCUUGGGGUCCAGGCCCCGCCAGCGCUGCACCCGGCAUUGUCCCGCCUGGGGCAGGCGUCCGGUCCCUCGGCAAUGCCGGCCAGCACGUAGUAGCUGCUGAAUAAAU
This 673-nucleotide long non-coding RNA is filed under the name Pongo abelii (Sumatran orangutan). Its description in RNAcentral is "lncRNA (ENSPPYG00000039731.1)". The record is from RNAcentral. Lineage: Eukaryota; Metazoa; Chordata; Mammalia; Primates; Hominidae.